Long non-coding RNA from Lontra canadensis (Northern American river otter), 472 nucleotides. RefSeq lists it as uncharacterized. The record is from RefSeq and is a predicted model, not a curated record. Lineage: Eukaryota; Metazoa; Chordata; Mammalia; Carnivora; Mustelidae. The transcript has 4 exons.
UACAAAGAGAUAUCAAGAUCUGUAUGGAACCUACGUGGCUAUUACAACCAAGAUUCUGGUGACCAAAAUGGAUGAAGUCAUGCCCCUCAGGAUGGUGAGAUUCUGGAUAACCUUGGAUGCCACGUGUUGAAGCUCUACAGGAAGAAAUUUCUCACCUGGAAGCAAUGAGGAAGAAGGCUGUGUUGGGAGUUGGAAGAGAACAGGUAGGGAGAGCAUGGCAGAGUGGCCUUUGUGAGAAGGAAGCAGAAGAGCCAGCUAGGAGAGAAGGUGAUGUGAAGAGAGAAGCAGAGAUUGGAGGGAGGCAACCAGGAGCCAAAGAAUGUGACAGGCAACCUCUAGAAGUUGGAAGAGGCAAAGAACAGAUUCUUCCCAGGAUCCUCCAGAAAGUACCAGCACUGUGCUCACUUUGACUUUCAGUCCCUGAAGACUCAUUUUUGACUUUUGAUCUUCAGAACUGUAAGAGAAUAAAUGU